UUUCCGUAGGUGAACCUGCGGAAGGAUCAUUACAGUGUUCCCUGCCCUUCGGGGUAGGAUCGCCACCCUUGAUUAUUUAUGAGUGUUGCUUUGGCGGGCCUCGCGGCCUGGCCGCGCCCCGGCUUCGGCGGGGGAGCGCCCGCCAGAGGAUUCUACAAACCUGAUUAUUAGUGUCGUCUGAGUACUAUAUAAUAGUUAAAACUCUCAACAACGGAUCUCUUGGUUCUG
Molecule: unclassified non-coding RNA, 228 nt
Filed under: plant metagenome
Description: partial contains small subunit ribosomal RNA, internal transcribed spacer 1, and 5.8S ribosomal RNA
Source: RNAcentral